UUUCCGUAGGUGAACCUGCGGAAGGAUCAUUCAUAAUAAGUGUUUUAUGGCACUUUUUUAAAUCCAUAUCCACCUUGUGUGCAAUGUCAGGGUUGAUUUUUCUCUCGAGAGGAUCAGCCCCAAACAUCAACUAUAUCUCAACUCUUUGUCUGAAAAAUAUUAUGAAUAAAACAAUUCAAAAUACAACUUUCAACAACGGAUCUCUUGGCUCU
RNAcentral lists this unclassified non-coding RNA (212 nucleotides) under plant metagenome. RNAcentral describes it as "partial contains small subunit ribosomal RNA, internal transcribed spacer 1, and 5.8S ribosomal RNA". The record is from RNAcentral.